RNAcentral lists this ribosomal RNA (206 nucleotides) under uncultured Bacteroidota bacterium. Its description in RNAcentral is "uncultured Bacteroidetes bacterium partial 16S ribosomal RNA". It matches the Rfam family "Bacterial small subunit ribosomal RNA", at positions 18 to 212 of the family's 1533-position model. The record is from RNAcentral. Lineage: Bacteria; Pseudomonadati; Bacteroidota.
CAUGGCUCAGGAUGAACGCUAGCGAUAGGCCUAACACAUGCAAGUCGAGGGGCAGCACAUGAAGUAGCAAUACGGAUGGUGGCGACCGGCGCACGGGUGAGUAACGCGUAUGCAACCUGCCUACAACAAGGGAAUAACCCGUUGAAAGACGGACUAAUACCCUAUAAUACAGGGGUCCCGCAUGGGAAUAUUUGUUAAAGAUUAAU